GUCGUAGCUGCACUUGUCGUGUUUCCAGAUGUCAAGGUUGACUCACCCAGUUUCUCAGAGUCAGAUGACAUAUUAGAUCCUGUCUUUAUUUCAGGUUUGGCUUUAGGGGGGGGUCGUACUUUGAGGUCCAUGAAAUCGCUAAUUAAACCUGGUUUUGUUAUCUUACUGUUAUCAACGUCCUUCUUACCAGUUAGCAGCUUGACCACUGUAGACAUGUAAGGACGAAGCUUUGGAGUAUCUUGGGUGCAGAGUAAACCAAUCUUUAGAAACUUACAAGCCUCCUCAGCAUCAAAGUCACCAUUUAGUGAUGUAUCCACCAGCCCUACCAGC
This 330-nucleotide unclassified non-coding RNA is filed under the name Hevea brasiliensis (rubber tree). The record is from RNAcentral. Lineage: Eukaryota; Viridiplantae; Streptophyta; Magnoliopsida; Malpighiales; Euphorbiaceae.